This 384-nucleotide long non-coding RNA is filed under the name Homo sapiens (human). RNAcentral's name for it is "HSALNT0351472". Lineage: Eukaryota; Metazoa; Chordata; Mammalia; Primates; Hominidae. The record is from RNAcentral.
UUGCCACUUCUGCUUCUGAAAGCCAUUGAAUGUGCAUUUCAUGUCUGAUACUGGGCAAGCUAUGGUCUGAAAUUCUCCUGAAUAGUGGCUUCUUUCAUGUUCUGCCUGCAGUAGGAACAAUGUGAUAGUAUAAGCUCCUCGGGAGCAGAAAUUUUGUUUUUUCUGAAUAUCUGCAAUACACAGCAAAAAUCAUGUGCAUUUAGGAUCCAUUUAACAACAAAUGGCAGAAAACAUAGCUACAAAUUGGCUUAACUAAUAAAAGCCAGUGGUGUGGAUGACCCAAGAGCAGCCAGGAUGGGAGACAGCUAGACAGAGCCUGCAAGCCCCUCUGGAAUACUUUCACUAUCAGAACACAAUGAAUGACAAACCUUUAAAAACUCCUAU